Molecule: ribosomal RNA, 253 nt
Filed under: uncultured bacterium
Lineage: Bacteria
Description: partial 16S ribosomal RNA
Rfam family: Bacterial small subunit ribosomal RNA
Source: RNAcentral
UACGUAGGGGGCAAGCGUUGUCCGGAUUUACUGGGCGUAAAGAGCGUGUAGGCGGCCACGCAGGUCCGUUGUGAAAACUGGAGGCUCAACCUCCAGCUGUCGACGGAAACCGUAUGGCUAGAGUCCGGAAGAGGAGAGUGGAAUUCCUGGUGUAGCGGUGAAAUGCGCAGAUAUCAGGAGGAACACCGAUGGCGAAGGCAGGUCUCUGGGCAUUAACUGACGCUGAGGAGCGAAAGCAUGGGGAGCGAACAGG